CCCUUAGAUGUUCUGGGCUGCACGCGCGCUACACUGACGCACGCAACAGGUGCCUGCUCCGAGAGGACUGGGUAAUCAUUUGAGUGUGCGUCGUGAUGGGGAUAGAAUAUUGUAAUUAUUACUCUUCAACGAGGAAUUCCUAGUAAGCGCCAGUCAGCAGCUUGCGCUGAUUACGUCCCUGCCCUUUGUACACACCGCCCGUCGCUCCUACCGAUGGGUGAUCCGGUGAAUGAUUCGGACUUCAGCGGCUCCCCUGGGGUGCGCCGGAGAAAGUUUUGUGAACCUUAUCACUUGGGGGAAGGAGAAGUCGUAACA
This 315-nucleotide ribosomal RNA is filed under the name uncultured eukaryote. Its description in RNAcentral is "partial 18S ribosomal RNA". It matches the Rfam family "Eukaryotic small subunit ribosomal RNA", at positions 1470 to 1796 of the family's 1831-position model. The record is from RNAcentral.